AUUGAACGCUGGCGGCAUGCCUUACACAUGCAAGUCGAACGGUAACGGGCCUUCGGGUGCCGACGAGUGGCGAACGGGUGAGUAAUACAUCGGAACGUGCCCGAUCGUGGGGGAUAACGAGGCGAAAGCUUUGCUAAUACCGCAUACGAUCUACGGAUGAAAGCAGGGGACCGCAAGGCCUUGCGCGGACGGAGCGGCCGAUGGCAGAUUAGGUAGUUGGUGGGGUAAAAGCUUACCAAGCCGACGAUCUGUAGCUGGUCUGAGAGGAUGAUCAGCCACACUGGGACUGAGACACGGCCCAGACUCCUACGGGAGGCAGCAGUGGGGAAUCUUGGACAAUGGGCGCAAGCCUGAUCCAGCCAUGCCGCGUGCAGGAUGAAGGCCUUCGGGUUGUAAACUGCUUUUGUACGGAACGAAAAGCCUUCUUCUAAUACAGGAGGGUCAUGACGGUACCGUAAGAAUAAGCACCGGCUAACUACGUGCCAGCCGCCGCGGUAA
RNAcentral lists this ribosomal RNA (498 nucleotides) under uncultured bacterium. RNAcentral describes it as "partial 16S ribosomal RNA". It matches the Rfam family "Bacterial small subunit ribosomal RNA", at positions 30 to 523 of the family's 1533-position model. The record is from RNAcentral.